UAACACAUGCAAGCCGAGCGGUAGAGAUUCUUCGGAAUCUUGAGAGCGGCGUACGGGUGCGGAACACGUGUGACACCUACUUUAUCUGGAGGAUAGCCUUUCGAAAGGAAGAUUAAUACUCCAUAAUAUAUUGAUUGGCAUCAAUUGAUAUUGAAAGCUCCGGCGGAUAGAGAUGGGCACGCGCAAGAUUAGUUAGUUGGUGAGGUAACGGCUCACCAAGACGAUGAUCUUUAGGGGCCUGAGAGGGUGAUCCCCCACACUGGUACUGAGACACGGACCAGACUCCUACGGGAGGCAGCAGUGAGGAAUAUUGGUCAAUGGGUGCAAGCCUGAACCAGCCAUCCCGCGUGAAGGACGACUGCCCUAUGGGUUGUUAAACUUCUUUUGUAUAGGGAUAAACCUACCCUCGUGAGGGUAGCUGAAGGUACUAUGCGAAUAAGCACCGGCUAACUCCGUG
This 457-nucleotide ribosomal RNA is filed under the name uncultured bacterium. RNAcentral describes it as "bacterial SSU rRNA". It matches the Rfam family "Bacterial small subunit ribosomal RNA", at positions 49 to 507 of the family's 1533-position model. The record is from RNAcentral.